Molecule: ribosomal RNA, 583 nt
Filed under: uncultured bacterium
Lineage: Bacteria
Description: bacterial SSU rRNA
Rfam family: Bacterial small subunit ribosomal RNA
Source: RNAcentral
CCUACGGGAGGCAGCAGUAGGGAAUAUUGGACAAUGGGGGCAACCCUGAUCCAGGCAUGCCGCGUGUGUGAAGAAGGCCUUAGGGUUGUAAAGCACUUUAAGUGAGGAAGAAAAGAUUUAAAUUAAUACUUUAAGUCCCUGACAUUACUCACAGAAUAAGGACCGGCUAACUCCGUGCCAGCAGCCGCGGUAAUACGGAGGGUCCAAGCGUUAAUCGGAAUUACUGGGCGUAAAGCGCGCGUAGAUGGUUUAUUCAGUUGGGUGUGAAAUCCCUGGGCUCAACCUAGGAACUGCAUUCAAAACUUAUAAACUAGAGUACGAAAGAGGAGAGUAGAAUUCAUGGUGUAGCGGUGAAAUGCGUAGAGAUCAUGAGGAAUACCAGUGGCGAAGGCGACUCUCUGGUUCGAGACUGACAUUGAGGUGCGAAAGCGUGGGUAGCAAACAGGAUUAGAUACCCUGGUAGUCCACGCCGUAAACGAUGAGAACUAGCCGUUGGAUCUUUAGAUUCAGUGGCGCAGCUAACGCAUUAAGUUCUCCGCCUGGGGAGUACGGCCGCAAGGCUAAAACUCAAAUGAAUUGACGG